This 2776-nucleotide ribosomal RNA is filed under the name Salmonella enterica subsp. enterica serovar Stanley. Its description in RNAcentral is "bacterial LSU rRNA". It matches the Rfam family "Bacterial large subunit ribosomal RNA". Lineage: Bacteria; Pseudomonadati; Pseudomonadota; Gammaproteobacteria; Enterobacterales; Enterobacteriaceae. The record is from RNAcentral.
AGCGUACACGGUGGAUGCCCUGGCAGUCAGAGGCGAUGAAGGGCGUGCUAAUCUGCGAUAAGCGCCGGUAAGGUGAUAUGAACCGUUAUAACCGGCGAUACCCGAAUGGGGAAACCCAGUGUGAUUCGUCACACUAUCAUUAACUGAAUCCAUAGGUUAAUGAGGCGAACCGGGGGAACUGAAACAUCUAAGUACCCCGAGGAAAAGAAAUCAACCGAGAUUCCCCCAGUAGCGGCGAGCGAACGGGGAGGAGCCCAGAGCCUGAAUCAGCAUGUGUGUUAGUGGAAGCGUCUGGAAAGGCGCGCGAUACAGGGUGACAGCCCCGUACACAAAAGCGCAUGUGUUGUGAGCUCGAUGAGUAGGGCGGGACACGUGGUAUCCUGUCUGAAUAUGGGGGGACCAUCCUCCAAGGCUAAAUACUCCUGACUGACCGAUAGUGAACCAGUACCGUGAGGGAAAGGCGAAAAGAACCCCGGCGAGGGGAGUGAAAAAGAACCUGAAACCGUGUACGUACAAGCAGUGGGAGCACAGGUUUACCUGUGUGACUGCGUACCUUUUGUAUAAUGGGUCAGCGACUUAUAUUCUGUAGCAAGGUUAACCGUAUAGGGGAGCCGGAGGGAAACCGAGUCUUAAUUGGGCGUUAAGUUGCAGGGUAUAGACCCGAAACCCGGUGAUCUAGCCAUGGGCAGGUUGAAGGUUGGGUAACACUAACUGGAGGACCGAACCGACUAAUGUUGAAAAAUUAGCGGAUGACCUGUGGCUGGGGGUGAAAGGCCAAUCAAACCGGGAGAUAGCUGGUUCUCCCCGAAAGCUAUUUAGGUAGCGCCUCGUGAAUUCAUCUCCGGGGGUAGAGCACUGUUUCGGCUAGGGGGCCAUCCCGGCUUACCAACCCGAUGCAAACUGCGAAUACCGGAGAAUGUUAUCACGGGAGACACACGGCGGGUGCUAACGUCCGUCGUGAAGAGGGAAACAACCCAGACCGCCAGCUAAGGUCCCAAAGUCAUGGUUAAGUGGGAAACGAUGUGGGAAGGCCCAGACAGCCAGGAUGUUGGCUUAGAAGCAGCCAUCAUUUAAAGAAAGCGUAAUAGCUCACUGGUCGAGUCGGCCUGCGCGGAAGAUGUAACGGGGCUAAACCAUGCACCGAAGCUGCGGCAGCGACACUGUGUGUUGUUGGGUAGGGGAGCGUUCUGUAAGCCUGUGAAGGUGUGUCGUGAGGCAUGCUGGAGGUAUCAGAAGUGCGAAUGCUGACAUAAGUAACGAUAAAGCGGGUGAAAAGCCCGCUCGCCGGAAGACCAAGGGUUCCUGUCCAACGUUAAUCGGGGCAGGGUGAGUCGACCCCUAAGGCGAGGCCGAAAGGCGUAGUCGAUGGGAAACGGGUUAAUAUUCCCGUACUUGGUGUUACUGCGAAGGGGGGACGGAGAAGGCUAUGUUGGCCGGGCGACGGUUGUCCCGGUUUAAGCGUGUAGGUGUGUGUUCCAGGUAAAUCCGGUUCACUUUAACACUGAGGCGUGACGACGAGGCACUACGGUGCUGAAGCAACAAAUGCCCUGCUUCCAGGAAAAGCCUCUAAGCAUCAGGUAACAUCAAAUCGUACCCCAAACCGACACAGGUGGUCAGGUAGAGAAUACCAAGGCGCUUGAGAGAACUCGGGUGAAGGAACUAGGCAAAAUGGUGCCGUAACUUCGGGAGAAGGCACGCUGACACGUAGGUGAAGUGAUUUACUCAUGGAGCUGAAGUCAGUCGAAGAUACCAGCUGGCUGCAACUGUUUAUUAAAAACACAGCACUGUGCAAACACGAAAGUGGACGUAUACGGUGUGACGCCUGCCCGGUGCCGGAAGGUUAAUUGAUGGGGUCAGCGCAAGCGAAGCUCCUGAUCGAAGCCCCGGUAAACGGCGGCCGUAACUAUAACGGUCCUAAGGUAGCGAAAUUCCUUGUCGGGUAAGUUCCGACCUGCACGAAUGGCGUAAUGAUGGCCAGGCUGUCUCCACCCGAGACUCAGUGAAAUUGAACUCGCUGUGAAGAUGCAGUGUACCCGCGGCAAGACGGAAAGACCCCGUGAACCUUUACUAUAGCUUGACACUGAACAUUGAGCCUUGAUGUGUAGGAUAGGUGGGAGGCUUUGAAGUGUGGACGCCAGUCUGCAUGGAGCCGACCUUGAAAUACCACCCUUUAAUGUUUGAUGUUCUAACGUGGACCCGUGAUCCGGGUUGCGGACAGUGUCUGGUGGGUAGUUUGACUGGGGCGGUCUCCUCCUAAAGAGUAACGGAGGAGCACGAAGGUUGGCUAAUCCUGGUCGGACAUCAGGAGGUUAGUGCAAUGGCAUAAGCCAGCUUGACUGCGAGCGUGACGGCGCGAGCAGGUGCGAAAGCAGGUCAUAGUGAUCCGGUGGUUCUGAAUGGAAGGGCCAUCGCUCAACGGAUAAAAGGUACUCCGGGGAUAACAGGCUGAUACCGCCCAAGAGUUCAUAUCGACGGCGGUGUUUGGCACCUCGAUGUCGGCUCAUCACAUCCUGGGGCUGAAGUAGGUCCCAAGGGUAUGGCUGUUCGCCAUUUAAAGUGGUACGCGAGCUGGGUUUAGAACGUCGUGAGACAGUUCGGUCCCUAUCUGCCGUGGGCGCUGGAGAACUGAGGGGGGCUGCUCCUAGUACGAGAGGACCGGAGUGGACGCAUCACUGGUGUUCGGGUUGUCAUGCCAAUGGCACUGCCCGGUAGCUACAUGCGGAAGAGAUAAGUGCUGAAAGCAUCUAAGCACGAAACUUGCCCCGAGAUGAGUUCU